GAGUUUGAUCCUGGCUCAGAACGAACGCUGGCGGCAGGCUUAACACAUGCAAGUCGAACGCCCCGCAAGGGGAGUGGCGCACGGGUGAGUAACGCGUGGGAAUGUACCGUUUAGUACAGAAUAGCCCCGGGAAACUGGGAGUAAUACUGUAUACGCUCUUCGGAGGAAAGAUUUAUCGCUAAACGAUCAGCCCGCGUGAGAUUAGGUAGUUGGUGGGGUAAUGGCCUACCAAGCCUACGAUCUCUAGCUGGUCUGAGAGGAUGAUCAGCCACACUGGAACUGAGACACGGUCCAGACUCCUACGGGAGGCAGCAGUGGGGAAUAUUGGACAAUGGGGGCAACCCUGAUCCAGCCAUGCCGCGUGAGUGAUGAAGGCCUUAGGGUUGUAAAGCUCUUUUAACGGUGAAGAUAAUGACGGUAACCGUAGAAAAAGCCCCGGCUAACUUCGUGCCAGCAGCCGCAGUAAG
RNAcentral lists this ribosomal RNA (467 nucleotides) under uncultured Alphaproteobacteria bacterium. RNAcentral's name for it is "bacterial SSU rRNA". It matches the Rfam family "Bacterial small subunit ribosomal RNA", at positions 9 to 524 of the family's 1533-position model. The record is from RNAcentral. Lineage: Bacteria; Pseudomonadati; Pseudomonadota; Alphaproteobacteria.